RNAcentral lists this ribosomal RNA (627 nucleotides) under uncultured bacterium. Its description in RNAcentral is "bacterial SSU rRNA". It matches the Rfam family "Bacterial small subunit ribosomal RNA", at positions 28 to 646 of the family's 1533-position model. The record is from RNAcentral.
AUUGAACGCUGGCGGCAUGCCUAACACAUGCAAGUCGAACGGUAACAGAACUAGCUUGCUAGUUGCUGACGAGUGGCGGACGGGUGAGUAAUGUAUAGGGAUCUGCCUAAUAGUGGGGGACAACGUGUGGAAACGCACGCUAAUACCGCAUACGCUCUACGGAGGAAAGUGGGGGAUCUUCGGACCUCAUGCUAUUAGAUGAACCUAUAUCGGAUUAGCUUGUUGGUGAGGUAAUGGCUCACCAAGGCGACGAUCCGUAGCUGGUUUGAGAGAAUGAUCAGCCACACUGGGACUGAGACACGGCCCAGACUCCUACGGGAGGCAGCAGUGGGGAAUAUUGCACAAUGGACGAAAGUCUGAUGCAGCAAUGCCGCGUGUGUGAAGAAGGCCUUCGGGUUGUAAAGCACUUUCAGAUGUGAGGAAAAGUAGUCUAUUAAUACUAGACUGCCGUGACGUUAACAUCAGAAGAAGGACCGGCUAACUCCGUGCCAGCAGCCGCGGUAAUACGGAGGGUCCAAGCGUUAAUCGGAAUUACUGGGCGUAAAGCGCGCGUAGGCGGAUAUUUAAGUCAGAUGUGAAAUCCCUGGGCUCAACCUAGGAACUGCAUUUGAAACUGGAUAUCUAGAG